UUCUAGCCCCGAUUGUAGCAAUUGUUUGAGCUCUUUUUUGUUUUUUCUUUUUUAAAAAAUAAAAAAAGCGAGUGCGCAAAGCGGGAAAUAGC
Molecule: non-coding RNA, 92 nt
Organism: Tenacibaculum dicentrarchi
Lineage: Bacteria; Pseudomonadati; Bacteroidota; Flavobacteriia; Flavobacteriales; Flavobacteriaceae
Source: Rfam